UGAAGAAUUAAUUGAAGAAUUAAUUGAGGAACUAAUUGAAGAAUUAACUCCUGCACCCUGCAAAGCAAAAUUCAGGGUGGAGGGAUCUGCCCAGGGUUGGAUUUCUGCCUGCCAGACAAAGACCUGACAGCAUUUGUGGUGAAAUAAUCUGCUCUGUUUGCAGACUGGAGGAGAAAUCCUUUCUGUACAGCUGAGUUCCUUUGAGCCUGGUGACCCCCCAAGCCACGUGCCCACCUCCAGAAAGGGCAGAAGCUUGUUUUGGCAUGGUGCUGGAUUUCCCUGGACCAUGGAGGGAAC
Long non-coding RNA from Manacus vitellinus (golden-collared manakin), 297 nucleotides. RefSeq lists it as uncharacterized. The record is from RefSeq and is a predicted model, not a curated record. The transcript has 4 exons. Lineage: Eukaryota; Metazoa; Chordata; Aves; Passeriformes; Pipridae.